AACGAACGCUGGCGGCAGGCUUAACACAUGCAAGUCGAACGCAUCCUUCGGGGUGAGUGGCAGACGGGUGAGUAACGCAUGGGAACGUGCCCUGCAGUUCGGAAUAACCCAGGGAAACUUGGGCUAAUACCGGAUACGUGCGAGAGCAGAAAGAUUUAUCGCUGAAGGAUCGGCCUGCGUAUGAUUAGCUAGUUGGUGAGGUAAUGGCUCACCAAGGCGACGAUCAGUAGCUGGUCUGAGAGGAUGAUCAGCCACAUUGGGACUGAGACACGGCCCAAACUCCUACGGGAGGCAGCAGUGGGGAAUAUUGGACAAUGGGCGCAAGCCUGAUCCAGCCAUGCCGCGUGAGUGAUGAAGGCCUUAGGGUUGUAAAGCUCUUUCAGUGGGGACGAUAAUGACGGUACCCGCAGAAGAAGCCCCGGCUAACUUCGUGCCAGCCGCCGCCGUAA
This 449-nucleotide ribosomal RNA is filed under the name uncultured bacterium. RNAcentral's name for it is "partial 16S ribosomal RNA". It matches the Rfam family "Bacterial small subunit ribosomal RNA", at positions 29 to 523 of the family's 1533-position model. The record is from RNAcentral.